This is a long non-coding RNA of Esox lucius (northern pike), 1578 nucleotides long. Lineage: Eukaryota; Metazoa; Chordata; Actinopteri; Esociformes; Esocidae. The record is from Ensembl.
UGGUUUUAUUGAAAGUGAAAACAAUAGAAAAAGAAAGAAAAUGUCAACAUUUCACAAACAGCCUGCCAAAAACUACCCUGUAUGAAAAAAUGUCUGAGGAACAAAUAGUGACAUAUAGGCUGCUACUCUGAAUACCCUAUAAAAUGAUACAUCCCAUGGGGUUAUUGGUCUUUCACAGUCAUACAACACAUGCUGUAAUGUAUAAGCAGGCUAGGACUACUAUUGAAAUAGAUAAAUGAGGCUGUCAACUAAGAACAAAGAACAACUAAGAACAAAACUCAUAGGUUUCUGGUUUAACAUACUGCUUUGACUUUCAGUAUGAAAUUUAUAUUUUCAGUGCAUAAAAAAAAAUGCUGAAGGUCUGUGAAAUUUGAGAAUUUCUGGUGUUUCUGUAUAGUGUUUUUGUAUAGAGUGCAGGCAUCUAGGGAGGAUGUUAAAGCUGGAGAAAAGCCAAACAUAAGAGAAAUAACUGCCCACUGAAUGUAAAAGAAACAAAACAAUUUCAAAUAAAAAAUAAUUAAUCAUUUGAUCACAUUCAAUUGAUCACAUUCAGCAGCAAAAGCAUGGUAUUACCCAUUACAUCGCCAAACCACUAUUAGCAACACAUAACAUUAGUUGUUAGAUCUAGCCUCGGUUUCCAGAUCACGUGGCACUUACGACGGUUUAACCAUGCGCGUAGCCUUAUGUGGAUUUUGUUACGAACGAUUUACGCCCGUUUCUGAAACCACCACGCUCAUCCGCUCUUUACAAAGUGCAUGGGGGACCCCCGGGCAGCCGUAAUAACUCCGAAACUACACCUGUAUCAAGCUGCUCUCAGUAUCGGCACUGGCAGGUCGGACCUCAAAGGUCUGCUGAAUCCGUACGAACAAACGCAAAUGUAUAAAGCCACUUGUUCCCCCUUCAGAUGUCUGCAUAUCCAGACAGCUGUUAUGAAGACAUGCAAGACCCACGGCUUCAUAGGACGCCUGGGAAAGGAGAGUGGUGUGUUAGGGAUACCAAGAGCCUUCCCAGUUACCGAAGCCCUUCUGUUCCUGACCCUGCCUGCCCCCUGUGCUUCAGCCUUGCGGACCACCUCGUUAUGACCUUCGCCUGUCCCCCGACCUCGAACCAGACAAUUCCUCUGCACCUCUUGGAUUCUGAUUCAUUGUAUGACCUGCCUGCCAACCAGGAGACUGUCUAUUCCUACACUAAACAUCUGUGCACGACCCCUCCUCUCUGCCUCUGUGUCCGCGCUGGGUUCCACACCCCGGCCCUGUCACAUAUGAUGCUUUAUGGAUGUCAACCUCAUUACACAACCCUUGUUCCGAGACCCGUCCUGCACCUCCCUUCCAACUACCUGGAUCACCUAUCUGCCUUCCCAUUAUUGACCUUCCCCUGCAUUGACUCCCCGCUCUGUUAACUGAACCCUGCCUGACCAUUCUUGCCUCCCGGAUUUCGUACCUCUGCUACCCACUUUUUUUUCAUAGUUACCUACAUUUUAGGAAAAGGAAAUGACCUCUUCAGGGUUUUCGCCGGGCCCUCUUAGACAGCUGGAGGGUAAAAGAAUACCUUCAAUAACACAAUCAAAUCAAAGUGGAC